AUGGCUCAGGAUGAACGCUAGCGACAGGCUAACACAUGCAAGUCGAGGGGCAGCACGGGAGUAGCAAUACAACGUGGUGGCGACCGGCGCGACGGGUGAGUAACGCGUAUGCAACCUACCUAUCAGGAGGGGAAUAACCCGGCGAAAGUCGGACUAAUACCGCAUAAAACAGGGGCACCGCAUGGUGAUAUUUGUUAAAGAAAUUCGCUGAUAGAUGGGCAUGCGUUCCAUUAGGUAGUUGGUGAGGUAACGGCUCACCAAGCCGACGAUGGAUAGGGGAACUGAGAGGUUGGUCCCCCACACUGGUACUGAGACACGGACCAGACUCCUACGGGAGGCAGCAGUGAGGAAUAUUGGUCAAUGGGCGAGAGCCUGAACCAGCCAAGUCGCGUGAAGGAAGAAGGAUCUAUGGUUCGUAAACUUCUUUUGCAGGGGAAUAAAGUGCAGGACGUGUCCUGUUUUGUAUGUACCCUGAGAAUAAGGAUCGGCUAACUCCGUGCCAGCCGCAGC
This 510-nucleotide ribosomal RNA is filed under the name uncultured bacterium. RNAcentral describes it as "bacterial SSU rRNA". It matches the Rfam family "Bacterial small subunit ribosomal RNA", at positions 19 to 518 of the family's 1533-position model. The record is from RNAcentral.